GGUGCUCACUGUCCAGCCAGCAAGGGAGAGCUCAGGAACAGGCUAGGAGAAUCUCAGCAGGGACAGUUUGUUGAGCCUGAGAUUCAUCUGACUUCUCCAGCAGGGAAUAAAGAGAAACCAGAGGCCAAGGCCAAAUGGCUGCUUUACAGAGAGAAAGAAGUUCAGCUCCAUCUACCAAUUCCCAUCAGUUCUGGGAAACAGGGAACAUCUUGGUUCUGAGGAACCUAGAUGUGGGCCAGGGCUGAAGAAUAGAAGAUGGUGAAAUCCCGUAGAUGUAUUUGCUCAGUCUGCUCAUACCGUCCCAAGAACUUUCGAAAGAAGUCAAAAGCAAAAACGUCAUGCAAGCAGAAGCAAAAGCAAAGGAAGACAUGUCCUCAGUAUAUGUCAACAAGAUGGAUGGAGAUGCUCCUUGAUUCUUCCAUUUUCAAUGCCAUGUUCUCCCCCACGACCAAUGAAAUGGAAAGCCUGGCUCGUUUUAAGCCCAAGACCACCAUAAUCAUCCUUAGUAUGCCAUCUCUGCCCCGGGCUCUCAAAUAAAGUGUCUCUCAUUUCA
Erinaceus europaeus (western European hedgehog) is the source of this 553-nucleotide long non-coding RNA. RefSeq lists it as uncharacterized. The record is from RefSeq and is a predicted model, not a curated record. Lineage: Eukaryota; Metazoa; Chordata; Mammalia; Eulipotyphla; Erinaceidae. The transcript is spliced from 3 exons.